RNAcentral lists this ribosomal RNA (398 nucleotides) under uncultured Oscillospiraceae bacterium. Its description in RNAcentral is "bacterial SSU rRNA". It matches the Rfam family "Bacterial small subunit ribosomal RNA", at positions 355 to 768 of the family's 1533-position model. The record is from RNAcentral. Lineage: Bacteria; Bacillati; Bacillota; Clostridia; Eubacteriales; Oscillospiraceae.
UGGGGAAUAUUGCACAAUGGGCGAAAGCCUGAUGCAGCAACGCCGCGUGAGGGAAGACGGUUUUCGGAUUGUAAACCUCUGUUUUCGGUGACGAACAAAUGACGGUAACCGAGUAGGAAGCCACGGCUAACUACGUGCCAGCAGCCGCGGUAAUACGUAGGUGGCAAGCGUUAUCCGGAAUUACUGGGUGUAAAGGGCGCGUAGGCGGGAUGGCAAGUCAGAUGUGAAAUCUAGGGGCUUAACCCCUAAACUGCAUUUGAAACUGUCGUUCUUGAGUGUCGGAGAGGUUGACGGAAUUCCUAGUGUAGCGGUGAAAUGCGUAGAUAUUAGGAGGAACACCAGUGGCGAAGGCGGUCAACUGGACGAUAACUGACGCUGAGGCGCGAAAGCGUGGGGAG